RNAcentral lists this non-coding RNA (32 nucleotides) under Homo sapiens (human). The record is from RNAcentral. Lineage: Eukaryota; Metazoa; Chordata; Mammalia; Primates; Hominidae.
UGUUCUGGUAUGGAGCCCAGAUGUAAGGCAGC